ACGAAUAGGACCUCCAGGGCAGCUACGGCAGCUGACCCCAUCCAGCCUCGACCCCCACUCGGUCCUCGUCCCGCUCGGUCCUACCGCCGCCGCCUCCGCUCCCUCUGCCACCCCGCCCGUCCGCCGGCGACCAGUCUCCCUCCGCCUGUCGCCGCGGCCAGUAGCUCUCUACCCGUGUCGCCCGUCGUUUCACAUCGCUCGCUGCUCCAGCGGCCGGGUCAGUUCGUAAAGCUUCCCCCGCGAGCGCAGUGGGUCACAACCCCUGCCGCCAUGUCUCGACUAGCAGCUGUGCUGGUGUCGUGCUGUCUGUUGACCUCCUGUCUACCAUCCGCCGAAGCGUUUUCCAAGUCACAUUGCCGCGGAUCGUGUAUGAACACUCUACUCUUCUCGUUCAAGUGCUGCUUCUUCAUGAACGAGUGCUGCUUCUCGCUGGCGCCUGUCGGUAGAAGGAAGAGAUCGCUGACCAAUUUACUGCUACCGCCGUCACCCAGCCGACUCGGACUCGCCGUGUGAUGUCACCAGGUGACGUAAUAGUGACGUCACACGCACAGACGGUGACAGAGAAACGAGUGCCACGGACCGUAAUCAAAAGGUGUCGCGAGCGGCGGGAGGUGCAGGAAGAUGAGCGGAAGGACAGAGCGAGACGAAGAGAGGGAAAGUGAGAGAGAGAGAGAGAUAGAGAGAGAGAGAGAGAGAGAGAGAGAGAGAGGGAGAGAGGGAGAGAGAGAGAGAGAGGGCAGAUGAGGGUGCAUCUGCUGUGUGAUUUCCUCACGAGUGAAAUGUGAGGCGUACAGAAGAUGGCGCCAUCAGAGCGCACACAGAGGCAUAUGGCAGAUGAUCCGUGUUUGUUUCGGUAAUCGAGAAGUUGUUGGUAGGCUGUCGCCUAAUGGCGCCGAUUAUACCGUGCAGAUUGCACGAUAAUUAGUUAGGUGUCUAGUUUCAGUUUUAUUGUGAGCGAUGUCGAUAUGUAUUAAGUGCCGCCAAUCGACCAACAAAUGAGCGUGGGCAAAAUGAAGUCUCCCAUUAGCCUUGUUUUCACUGAAAUGCCAGGCCGGGGCUAGGUGCACUGUGCAGGAUGACCGAUGCAUGGGGCCUCCCGCCUCGGUUCUAAUGUAGCAACUAGCGAGCGACACAAGCUUCAGCCUACGCCUACCUACCAACGUUCGACAUAUUUUAUGUUUAUGCAUUCGACGAUUGAGAUGUAUUUAAACCAAAUUCCUACUUUAUAAGUGUCGUUGUUCGUUUAGGGCCUGCCAUCGCUUGAAACUAUACGUACCGUCUCAUCGCUGCCUUCUCCAUUGCUCGGCACCUUUGUCAUAAUAGCUUUCUAAACAGUCGGUCUCCCUAGUGUUGAGAGAUAAAGCGAGACGCUUUCUAGGCAUAGGCAAUGGCAGGCUUUAUGCGUUGAACGUUUUGUGUUGGUGCUAAUGCAACUGCCGUCAUCAACGGGCUUUGGCGGAAUUCGUACAAUUGUGCAAGCUUUCUUUAUUUUAAACUACGUUUACCUAAGCUGAGUUUAAGCCUGUACAGUGUACAUUGCCCUAUUGUUCUCGCAUUUGUUGCAGCAUUUUGCUGUUCAAUACAUAAACUUCGACGUAA
This 1599-nucleotide long non-coding RNA is filed under the name Amphibalanus amphitrite. RNAcentral's name for it is "uncharacterized LOC122366655". The record is from RNAcentral. Lineage: Eukaryota; Metazoa; Arthropoda; Thecostraca; Balanomorpha; Balanidae.